CCUAGUGUCUUCUCUCCUGGUGAGGUCUGAGAAUGAUGAUUAAAGUCUUAUGUUCUGUUAUGCCACGAGUUGCCAUGGAAAUGAGCUUGAGGCUGCAGAUUUAGUGAAGUAUCCUAUCUUGUGAAACAAAGACAAGAGGGAAGUGAUGCUGUGGGCCAGAAGACUUAUGUGAGAGUCUGUUGCCUGAGAUCAGCCGAGGUGGCUGGAGUGCAGUAGGUGUGCUGCUGGAGUGGAGCUUCCCAUUUAGUUAUGUCACCCAGACUGUGAGCCUCAAGGCUGUUUGAAGUGAGGGAAAAAAAAAAAAAAAAAGCAUGUCUUGAGUCAUGACAAUGCCCAGCAUUUGGAAGGAGAUGUAGGAACUGGAGGAGCUACCACCACCUGGAGGGAGUUUGGAAGUGUUCAUGAGGAGUGCACGGUGCGGAGAAGUAGGGUGAUAAAAGUGCCACUAAACAAGAGGAAUUCCUCAGGGGAGAACUGAACACCAGCACAGCAGAUGCUUAUUUGACAGAAAGUUUCCAUCAGCUCCAGAGAAUGGGUCCCGUAAAUAGCCUUUGUGGUUCUCAGAUGGAGUACUUGCAAAAUGGAAUUGAUUAAAAGGCUACUAAUAUUUUCCCGAGGAAGGAACACAUACAAGAGAGAAGGAAUAAUGAACUUGAAAGCAUCAAGCUACUUAAAAAUAAGGUUCACUGCCACCUCCCCCACCAGACGUUAUUGUCCCUGAGAGAGUACACGUACAGUUCACUCUGGAAGCUACACAGCUGAAGCACUGGCAACAGAAGAAGCAGAAUAUGCAUGGCUGUCAUUUUAGCAAUUUUCUCUUCAGCAGUGUUAAUGUGCAUGAAAGAGGGGCUAUCGCCUGAUGACUCCACACCUAUGAAACAGUUCACUUUGGAUAGUGAAAACCUAGAUGAAGUAUCAGAGCCCUCAGGAAGAUGAACAGAGGCACCCAGAGGACUGUGAAUACUGGCAGGACUCCUCAAGAUUGAUUUGUGCAGUGCUGGAAGAUGAUAGUAGGGACUUUAAAUCCAUACUUCAGGAGGCCUGGAAAUCAUCUAGCUGGAGCAAAGAGACGGCAACAGGGUCUCCAAAUGGGUACAGCCAGCAGCAUCACUGCAGAAGGUGGGAGCCUGCCCACCAAGCACAUCAGUUUUCACAGAAGUUUCUGACUUGAAUAGUAUCCUUGGAAAUGACCCACUGGUUAAAAACAAAACAAUAACAAAGCCCUGUGAAGAACAGCAGUUUGAGUUUCCAUGCAUGUCAUUACCUUCAAAAGCCAUCAGAGCCUGCGCUGUGUCUGUGCAGCACUGCAGAGAAGACAGAGAAGUUGGAAGAGAGGACUGGCAGCAACGAGGAUACACAAAGAUACCAUCAAAUGUUGUCCAGACUGCUGGUAAGUACAUCUGUCUGUGCUCCAGAUUCCAAGCAAACAACUUGCAGUGAGACUUCAUGCCUUCGCUGGGCUGGGAUGCUGCAGUUCGCAGCAAUGAGGGGUAGCACUGUGCAGCCACACCGCAAGAGCAAAACCAGUAGGAAGAAAAUAGUAAACAACCCACCCGAAAGCUCAGGGGCUCUAAGUUCAGACAGCUGCCUGUGCUUUUACCCUGCACAGCACUAGAGGAUGGGACUGCUGUUUGCACACAGAUAGCUGCACCCCAGCUAUGCUGCUGGAUUUCGUUUUCCUUGGUGCUAGGCAGCAGCCAGGAGCUGACGUCUGUAGACCUAGCGGACUUGAAGCUUGCUGUUAUGCCACUCUAUUCAGACCAAACAUGUAAUUCUUAAAAUGCCUAUGAGAGGUGAUCUAGAGCCUUUGGCAUAUCCUCAGGGAAGAAUCAGCCAUAGGAACUCACACGACCUGUUUUAAACAAUUGCUGGAGAAGCUCACAGGGAUAUUAUUGACAGACUGGUAGAGUGGCUUGCCAUACAGGAGCUCUGGUGUUACAAACUAUUGGAGUUGGGCAGCCAUUGAGAGGAGUGAAAAAGCAGACUUUGAGACUUGCGAACAUCUGCCUGUCCCCAGCUUACCUACCCUCACC
Molecule: long non-coding RNA, 2033 nt
Organism: Oxyura jamaicensis (ruddy duck)
Lineage: Eukaryota; Metazoa; Chordata; Aves; Anseriformes; Anatidae
Exons: 9
Source: RefSeq, a predicted model, not a curated record